UUAAGCGACUAAGCGUACACGGUGGAUGCCCUGGCAGUCAGAGGCGAUGAAGGACGUGCUAAUCUGCGAUAAGCGUCGGUAAGGUGAUAUGAACCGUUAUAACCGGCGAUUUCCGAAUGGGGAAACCCAGUGUGUUUCGACACACUAUCAUUAACUGAAUCCAUAGGUUAAUGAGGCGAACCGGGGGAACUGAAACAUCUAAGUACCCCGAGGAAAAGAAAUCAACCGAGAUUCCCCCAGUAGCGGCGAGCGAACGGGGAGCAGCCCAGAGCCUGAAUCAGUGUGUGUGUUAGUGGAAGCGUCUGGAAAGGCGCGCGAUACAGGGUGACAGCCCCGUACACAAAAAUGCACAUGCUGUGAGCUCGAUGAGUAGGGCGGGACACGUGGUAUCCUGUCUGAAUAUGGGGGGACCAUCCUCCAAGGCUAAAUACUCCUGACUGACCGAUAGUGAACCAGUACCGUGAGGGAAAGGCGAAAAGAACCCCGGCGAGGGGAGUGAAAAAGAACCUGAAACCGUGUACGUACAAGCAGUGGGAGCACGCUUAGGCGUGUGACUGCGUACCUUUUGUAUAAUGGGUCAGCGACUUAUAUUCUGUAGCAAGGUUAACCGAAUAGGGGAGCCGAAGGGAAACCGAGUCUUAACUGGGCGUUAAGUUGCAGGGUAUAGACCCGAAACCCGGUGAUCUAGCCAUGGGCAGGUUGAAGGUUGGGUAACACUAACUGGAGGACCGAACCGACUAAUGUUGAAAAAUUAGCGGAUGACUUGUGGCUGGGGGUGAAAGGCCAAUCAAACCGGGAGAUAGCUGGUUCUCCCCGAAAGCUAUUUAGGUAGCGCCUCGUGAAUUCAUCUCCGGGGGUAGAGCACUGUUUCGGCAAGGGGGUCAUCCCGACUUACCAACCCGAUGCAAACUGCGAAUACCGGAGAAUGUUAUCACGGGAGACACACGGCGGGUGCUAACGUCCGUCGUGAAGAGGGAAACAACCCAGACCGCCAGCUAAGGUCCCAAAGUCAUGGUUAAGUGGGAAACGAUGUGGGAAGGCCCAGACAGCCAGGAUGUUGGCUUAGAAGCAGCCAUCAUUUAAAGAAAGCGUAAUAGCUCACUGGUCGAGUCGGCCUGCGCGGAAGAUGUAACGGGGCUAAACCAUGCACCGAAGCUGCGGCAGCGACNGAAGGUGUGCUGUGAGGCAUGCUGGAGGUAUCAGAAGUGCGAAUGCUGACAUAAGUAACGAUAAAGCGGGUGAAAAGCCCGCUCGCCGGAAGACCAAGGGUUCCUGUCCAACGUUAAUCGGGGCAGGGUGAGUCGACCCCUAAGGCGAGGCCGAAAGGCGUAGUCGAUGGGAAACAGGUUAAUAUUCCUGUACUUGGUGUUACUGCGAAGGGGGGACGGAGAAGGCUAUGUUGGCCGGGCGACGGUUGUCCCGGUUUAAGCGUGUAGGCUGGUUUUCCAGGCAAAUCCGGAAAAUCAAGGCUGAGGCGUGAUGACGAGGCACUACGGUGCUGAAGCAACAAAUGCCCUGCUUCCAGGAAAAGCCUCUAAGCAUCAGGUAACAUCAAAUCGUACCCCAAACCGACACAGGUGGUCAGGUAGAGAAUACCAAGGCGCUUGAGAGAACUCGGGUGAAGGAACUAGGCAAAAUGGUGCCGUAACUUCGGGAGAAGGCACGCUGAUAUGUAGGUGAAGCGACUUGCUCGUGGAGCUGAAAUCAGUCGAAGAUACCAGCUGGCUGCAACUGUUUAUUAAAAACACAGCACUGUGCAAACACGAAAGUGGACGUAUACGGUGUGACGCCUGCCCGGUGCCGGAAGGUUAAUUGAUGGGGUNNNNNNNNNNNNNNNAGCGCAAGCGAAGCUCUUGAUCGAAGCCCCGGUAAACGGCGGCCGUAACUAUAACGGUCCUAAGGUAGCGAAAUUCCUUGUCGGGUAAGUUCCGACCUGCACGAAUGGCGUAAUGAUGGCCAGGCUGUCUCCACCCGAGACUCAGUGAAAUUGAACUCGCUGUGAAGAUGCAGUGUACCCGCGGCAAGACGGAAAGACCCCGUGAACCUUUACUAUAGCUUGACACUGAACAUUGAGCCUUGAUGUGUAGGAUAGGUGGGAGGCUUUGAAGUGUGGACGCCAGUCUGCAUGGAGCCGACCUUGAAAUACCACCCUUUAAUGUUUGAUGUUCUAACGUUGACCCGUAAUCCGGGUUGCGGACAGUGUCUGGUGGGUAGUUUGACUGGGGCGGUCUCCUCCUAAAGAGUAACGGAGGAGCACGAAGGUUGGCUAAUCCUGGUCGGACAUCAGGAGGUUAGUGCAAUGGCAUAAGCCAGCUUGACUGCGAGCGUGACGGCGCGAGCAGGUGCGAAAGCAGGUCAUAGUGAUCCGGUGGUUCUGAAUGGAAGGGCCAUCGCUCAACGGAUAAAAGGUACUCCGGGGAUAACAGGCUGAUACCGCCCAAGAGUUCAUAUCGACGGCGGUGUUUGGCACCUCGAUGUCGGCUCAUCACAUCCUGGGGCUGAAGUAGGUCCCAAGGGUAUGGCUGUUCGCCAUUUAAAGUGGUACGCGAGCUGGGUUUAGAACGUCGUGAGACAGUUCGGUCCCUAUCUGCCGUGGGCGCUGGAGAACUGAGGGGGGCUGCUCCUAGUACGAGAGGACCGGAGUGGACGCAUCACUGGUGUUCGGGUUGUCAUGCCAAUGGCACUGCCCGGUAGCUAAAUGCGGAAGAGAUAAGUGCUGAAAGCAUCUAAGCACGAAACUUGCCCCGAGAUGAGUUCUCCCUGAC
RNAcentral lists this ribosomal RNA (2765 nucleotides) under Escherichia coli. RNAcentral describes it as "bacterial LSU rRNA". It matches the Rfam family "Bacterial large subunit ribosomal RNA". The record is from RNAcentral. Lineage: Bacteria; Pseudomonadati; Pseudomonadota; Gammaproteobacteria; Enterobacterales; Enterobacteriaceae.